AUUGAACGCUGGCGGCAGGCUUAACACAUGCAAGUCGAGCGGGGAAAGGUAGCUUGCUACCUUACCUAGCGGCGGACGGGUGAGUAAUGCUUAGGAAUCUGCCUAUUAGUGGGGGACAACAUUUCGAAAGGAAUGCUAAUACCGCAUACGCCCUACGGGGGAAAGCAGGGGACCUUCGGGCCUUGCGCUAAUAGAUGAGCCUAAGUCGGAUUAGCUAGUUGGUGGGGUAAAGGCCUACCAAGGCGACGAUCUGUAGCGGGUCUGAGAGGAUGAUCCGCCACACUGGGACUGAGACACGGCCCAGACUCCUACGGGAGGCAGCAGUGGGGAAUAUUGGACAAUGGGGGGAACCCUGAUCCAGCCAUGCCGCGUGUGUGAAGAAGGCCUUUUGGUUGUAAAGCACUUUAAGCGAGGAGGAGGAGCUCUAGAUUAAUACUCUAGAUGCUUGGACGUUACUCGCAGAAUAAGCACCGGCUAACUCUGUGCCAGCAGCCGCGGUAAUACAGAGGGUGCAAGCGUUAAUCGGAUUUACUGGGCGUAAAGCGUGCGUAGGUGGUCUUUUAAGUCGGAUGUGAAAUCCCUGAGCUUAACUUAGGAAUUGCAUUCGAUACUGGGAGACUAGAGUAUGGGAGAGGAUGGUAGAAUUCCAGGU
RNAcentral lists this ribosomal RNA (652 nucleotides) under uncultured Acinetobacter sp. Its description in RNAcentral is "bacterial SSU rRNA". It matches the Rfam family "Bacterial small subunit ribosomal RNA", at positions 28 to 674 of the family's 1533-position model. Lineage: Bacteria; Pseudomonadati; Pseudomonadota; Gammaproteobacteria; Moraxellales; Moraxellaceae. The record is from RNAcentral.